GCUUGCUUCCGCCGACGACCGGCGCACGGGUGCGUAACGCGUAUACAAUCUACCUUAUACUGGGGUAUAGCCUUUAGAAAUGAAGAUUAACCCCCCAUAGUCUCUUAGAGUGGCAUCACUUCUAGAGUAAAGGUUACGGUAUAAGAUGAGUAUGCGUUCUAUUAGUUUGUUGGUGUGGUAACGGCACACCAAGACUACGAUAGAUAGGGGCCCUGAGAGGGGGAUCCCCCACACUGGUACUGAGACACGGACCAGACUCCUACGGGAGGCAGCAGUGAGGAAUAUUGGACAAUGGAGGCAACUCUGAUCCAGCCAUGCCGCGUGCAGGAAGACUGCCCUAUGGGUUGUAAACUGCUUUUAUACAGGAAGAAACACCUCUACGUGUAGAGGCUUGACGGUACUGUAAGAAUAAGGAUCGGCUAACUCCGUGCCAGCAGCCGCGGUAAUACGGAGGAUCCAAGCGUUAUCCGGAAUCAUUGGGUUUAAAGGGUCCGUAGGUGGAUAAUUAAGUCAGAGGUGAAAUCUUGCAGCUCAACUGUAAAAUUGCCUUUGA
Molecule: ribosomal RNA, 553 nt
Filed under: uncultured Bacteroidota bacterium
Lineage: Bacteria; Pseudomonadati; Bacteroidota
Description: bacterial SSU rRNA
Rfam family: Bacterial small subunit ribosomal RNA
Source: RNAcentral